This 667-nucleotide ribosomal RNA is filed under the name Cystofilobasidium infirmominiatum. Its description in RNAcentral is "eukaryotic LSU rRNA". It matches the Rfam family "Eukaryotic large subunit ribosomal RNA", at positions 1 to 610 of the family's 3401-position model. The record is from RNAcentral. Lineage: Eukaryota; Fungi; Basidiomycota; Tremellomycetes; Cystofilobasidiales; Cystofilobasidiaceae.
CGCUCCUAAUUAGCGCAGACUUCGAGUGCUGGCAACUUUUGACAACUUGGCCUCAAAUCAGGUAGGACUACCCACUGAACUUAAGCAUAUCAAUAAGUGGAGGAAAAGAAACUAACAAGGAUUCCCCUAGUAACGGCGAGUGAAGCGGGAAGAGCUCAAAUUUAAAAUCUGGCAGGCUACGCUUGUCCGAAUUGUAAUCUCGAGAAGUGUUUUCCGCGUUGGCCUGUGUACAAGUCCCUUGGAACAGGGCGUCAUAGAGGGUGAGAAUCCCGUCCUUGACACAGACACCCAAUGCUUUGUGAUACACUCUCAAUGAGUCGAGUUGUUUGGGAAUGCAGCUCAAAAUGGGUGGUAAAUUCCAUCUAAAGCUAAAUACUGGCGAGAGACCGAUAGCGAACAAGUACCGUGAGGGAAAGAUGAAAAGCACUUUGGAAAGAGAGUCAAACAGUACGUGAAAUUGUUGAAAGGGAAACGAUUGAAGUCAGUCGUGCCUGCCUAGAUUCAGCCUUCUGGUGUAUUUCUAGGUCGGCAGGUCAGCAUCAGUUUGGGGGGGUUAACAAGGGAGCUGGGAAUGUGGCAACCUCGGUUGUGUUAUAGCCCAGUUUCGCAUUGAUCUCGCUGGACUGAGGAACGCAGUGCGCCCGCAAGGGUUGGUCUUCGGACACAU